Molecule: ribosomal RNA, 504 nt
Filed under: uncultured bacterium
Lineage: Bacteria
Description: bacterial SSU rRNA
Rfam family: Bacterial small subunit ribosomal RNA
Source: RNAcentral
GUCAGGAUGAACGCUAGCGGCAGGCUUAACACAUGCAAGUCGAGGGGCAGCGGGAUGUAGCAAUACAUUGCCGGCGACCGGCGGAUGGGUGCGUAACGCGUAUGCAACCUACCUUAUACAGGGGAAUAACCUUUCGAAGGGGAGACUAACACCCCAUGGUAUUGAUUUAAGGCAUCUUAGAUUAAUUAAAUAUUUAUAGGUAUAAGAUGGGGCAUGCGUAUGAUUAGCUAGUUGGUAAGGUAACGGCUUACCAAGGCGACGAUCAUUAGGGGUUCUGAGAGGAAGGUCCCCCACACUGGUACUGAGACACGGACCAGACUCCUACGGGAGGCAGCAGUGAGGAAUAUUGGUCAAUGGGCGCAAGCCUGAACCAGCCAUGCCGCGUGCAGGAAAGACGGCCUUAUGGGUUGUAAACUGCUUUUACAUAAGACUAACCGUAUAUUUGCGAAUAUACCUGAAUGUAUUAUGAGAAUAAGGAUCGGCUAACUCCGUGCCAGCAGCCGC